AGUGAACGCUGGCGGUAGGCCUAACACAUGCAAGUCGAACGGCAGCACAGUAAGAGCUUGCUCUUACGGGUGGCGAGUGGCGGACGGGUGAGGAAUACAUCGGAAUCUACUUUUUCGUGGGGGAUAACGUAAGGAAACUUACGCUAAUACCGCAUACGACCUACGGGUGAAAGCAGGGGAUCUUCGGACCUUGCGCGAUUGAAUGAGCCGAUGUCGGAUUAGCUAGUUGGCGGGGUAAAGGCCCACCAAGGCGACGAUCCGUAGCUGGUCUGAGAGGAUGAUCAGCCACACUGGAACUGAGACACGGUCCAGACUCCUACAGGAGGCAGCAGUGGGGAAUAUUGGACAAUGGGCGCAAGCCUGAUCCAGCCAUACCGCGUGGGUGAAGAAGGCCUUCGGGUUGUAAAGCCCUUUUGUUGGGAAAGAAAAGCAGCAGGUUAAUACCCCGCUGUUCUGACGGUACCCAAAGAAUAAGCACCGGCUAACUUCGUG
Molecule: ribosomal RNA, 492 nt
Filed under: uncultured bacterium
Lineage: Bacteria
Description: partial 16S ribosomal RNA
Rfam family: Bacterial small subunit ribosomal RNA
Source: RNAcentral